AGAUGUAGACAAUAUAUAACAAAUUUGUAGCUCUCAACAUCAUCUAUAGAUUUGUACUUGAUAGUUUUGUUUGUUUGAGAUUGUUUAGAGGGCCAAAUUUUUUUAACAUCCCAUAUUUUGAAUUUUUUUACCUUUUUGAAACAAACUUAGAUGGAGAGACACUUAUACCAAAUUUGUUGCCUCAAUGUGUUCUACAACUUUCUAGUUGACUACC
Molecule: long non-coding RNA, 214 nt
Filed under: Sorghum bicolor (sorghum)
Lineage: Eukaryota; Viridiplantae; Streptophyta; Magnoliopsida; Poales; Poaceae
Description: long non-coding RNA (SBIC_LNC016750)
Source: RNAcentral